GCCAUGUUUGCAGCCUUCAAUCUCCACUCAUAAGCAAUCUCAUGUGGAACUAAAGUAUUAAGAUCAUACUACCACAUGCAAAGAACAAUAUUAGAUAGAAAUCAUAGCUAAAAACACACUAGAACCAAGCUAAAAUCAUCCUCAAAUACACGGGUUUGAACUGAUUUUGCAAAUCUGGGUUUGAACCCAAGUCAAACAAAC
Molecule: long non-coding RNA, 201 nt
Filed under: Eucalyptus grandis
Lineage: Eukaryota; Viridiplantae; Streptophyta; Magnoliopsida; Myrtales; Myrtaceae
Description: long non-coding RNA (EGRA_LNC001997)
Source: RNAcentral